AAGCUCGGGCCACACCAGUCGCAGCCGUACUGAGCCAGGCCAGUAAGACGAGUGCAUUCAAUGAAUGCUCUCUUCAACCUAACUUCGUCCUGAGCCAUUGCCGAUAAGGACGGUGAUCCGCGAUCCGGGUCGGUAUCGGCAUGAAUGAGCCUGUCCGCACGUCAGAAGGGUGUCCCAUCCUACUGCAAUGUAGGGAGUAGAUGUGGAAAAACCUUAUUUGUCGUACUCCCUGGUGUCUGUGGUGAGUGGUGUGUCCACCAUGCUGUCAUCGUUUAUGCACUUGUACUUGUAGUUGUAUCAGUAGUGCAGUGUACCACUACUAGUGACAGUACUGUAAACGUCAUGAUUGUACUGAGAAGUGAGAGCUAGCUGUUAC
Molecule: long non-coding RNA, 376 nt
Organism: Sycon ciliatum
Lineage: Eukaryota; Metazoa; Porifera; Calcarea; Leucosolenida; Sycettidae
Exons: 3
Source: RefSeq, a predicted model, not a curated record